AGAGUUUGAUCAUGGCUCAGAGCGAACGCUGGCGGCAGGCCUAAUACAUGCAAGUCGAGCGGGUGUAGCAAUACACCAGCGGCAGACGGGAGAGUAACACGUGGGAACGUGCCCUUCAGUUCGGAACAACCCAGGGAAACUUGGGCUAAUACCGGAUACGUCCGAAAGGAGAAAGAUUUAUCGCUGAAGGAUCGGCCCGCGUCUGAUUAGCUUGUUGGUGAGGUAACGGCUCACCAAGGCGACGAUCAGUAGCUGGUCUGAGAGGAUGAUCAGCCUCACUGGGACUGAGACACGGCCCAGACUCCUACGGGAGGCAGCAGCAGGGAAUAUUGGACAAUGGGCGCAAGCCUGAUCCAGCCAUGCCGCGUGGGUGAUGAAGGCCCUAGGGUUGUAAAGCCCUUUCGGCGGGGAAGAUAAUGACGGUACCCGCAGAAGAAGCCCCGGCUAACUUCGUGCCAGCAGCCGCGGUA
This 470-nucleotide ribosomal RNA is filed under the name uncultured Pseudomonadota bacterium. RNAcentral describes it as "bacterial SSU rRNA". It matches the Rfam family "Bacterial small subunit ribosomal RNA", at positions 8 to 522 of the family's 1533-position model. Lineage: Bacteria; Pseudomonadati; Pseudomonadota. The record is from RNAcentral.